UACGUAGGGUGCAAGCGUUAAUCGGAAUUACUGGGCGUAAAGCGUGCGCAGGCGGUUGGGCAAGACAGAUGUGAAAUCCCCGGGCUUAACCUGGGAAUUGCAUUUGUGACUGCACGGCUAGAGUGUGUCAGAGGGGGGUAGAAUUCCACGUGUAGCAGUGAAAUGCGUAGAUAUGUGGAGGAAUACCGAUGGCGAAGGCAGCCCCCUGGGAUAACACUGACGCUCAUGCACGAAAGCGUGGGGAGCAAACAGG
RNAcentral lists this ribosomal RNA (253 nucleotides) under uncultured bacterium. RNAcentral describes it as "partial 16S ribosomal RNA". It matches the Rfam family "Bacterial small subunit ribosomal RNA", at positions 524 to 776 of the family's 1533-position model. The record is from RNAcentral.